CGUAUUAGCUCAAUAAGUGGAGACCUGGAAAUUUUGAAAACAUCGAAGAAAGCACGCGUGCACUGGGGAGAGAUCUGGUGCUAAAGCGAAGGGAUCGAGGGCGGCGUGGUGGGAUCUCGCGCCAUGGGCGAGCAGUUCUCUGGUAGAGCGGAAAAUUUGGUCAGGGAGGAGGCAACAAAAGGGUUGAACCCAGGGCUGGUAGUCUUACUUGUGGUUGGUGGUCUUGUGCUGUUUUUCCUUGUCGGAAACUAUGCACUCUACAGGUAUGCAGAAAAGACCCUUCCACCAAAGAAGAAGAAACCUGUCUCCAAAAAGAAAUUGAAGAGGGAAAGGCUUAAGCAAGGGGUCUCCGCUCCAGGAGAGUAGAAGUAGUGCCUACAAAACUAGCAAGAAAUCUUGAUCAUAGUGCUGAUUGUCAGUUUAGUUGUAUGUCGAGGUCUAGUUCUUUGUUAAGCUUGGAAACCUCGAAAGUUUACCAUUUGAUUUGGUAUAAGCUAUAUUUAGUUGGAAAUUCAAGGUAGAUUGGAGUUACUAAACAAUUCCAGCUGGUGCUUGCUUGCUUGAAUGCCAUUAUUAUAUGCUUGUUGCAAUGCCACACCAUUACCAUCCUACUCUCCUACCCGCCCUCCUCCUCCUCCUCCUCCUCCUCCCCUCUUCUAAUACGUUGGGAACACCAUCACCAGUCUUUGAACCCUGGACCUGCAUGGAAUGUUACUUAGGCUCAGGCACAUGCGCAUGCAAUUAUAGUAAUUUCUCUUUCAUUAUGAAAAUAUUCAGGUUACAGUAUAGUACCAGUUUUUAGCUGGGGAUCUCUUUCUAAGAUCCGCAAUAUGUUUAAUUGUUUAUUGCUCUGCAAUUGUCUAUUACUACAUCUUGAUGUAAAGUUGAAUAAAAUAUUUUUACACACAUUAAUCUCCCAUUCUUAAUGAAAAUAUUCAGGUUAUAUUAUAGCCCCAUCUCUUUAAGAUAUGCAAUACAUUUAAUUGUUUAUUGCUAUGCAUUACAUUCAAUUGUUUGUUGCUACAUCUUGCUGUAAAAUUGAACAGAAUAUUUUUAUGGUUUUGAAGGGUGGAAGUAAAUAUUAGUCGACAAUGAAUGGCACGUUUUACUGUCCUGUGGCCACAGACUUGCUUAAUAUUCUGUUGGUAUCUUUAUUUUUCUGCUAGCAUCCUUUUCUUUCUGUUUUUGGUGGAAGAUGCCCAUAGGCAUUCUCCAGCCAAAAAGAUGAUACUGGAACCCCCCUAUGUGGAGAUGAUUGGUAUAACACACAAUCUGCAGCUUCUUUGGUUGUGUACUGCAAGAUCUCUAUUCAAAGUGCACCAUGUGAACGCAUACUUUUAUGUUCCAUCAAAAUCUACCUUUCUGUUCAUCUUAUUUAGUUAUCAAAAUACAAGGUGAUCGAACCUUCCAUGAAAACUGUAAGAGGUAGCAGGUUUGCGGGCAGUUUGCAAUGCCUCCCAUCAAUCAGCGUUGACAAACCGGCAGUCCUUUCUUAUCUCACCUUGAUCGAUGGUCAGUGGAUUGUUCUCUGAUAGCAAGAGAAGUGCACCUGCAAACCGUUCAUGGAAGUAGCUGUUAUUAGCUGCCAUCAGUUCCACAAAAGAAGAGGUUGUAGGAUCAGAAGCGAGCUGCUGAUCUAUCAGCAACAGCCCCCUGUGCUUCAACAAGUUCUUGUAGUACAUGUUGUCGAUCACCAUCGGCGUCUCUCGGUCGUUCCUUGAGUACGAUACCUUCUUUGGAUCCGGAUUUGGUGUUGGACACCGGACUCGUAGGUAUUCACCAUACUCAGGAGCUAUUGUGGGAUCAAUUGUGGGAUAGAGUCUACCAACAAGGUUCACACAAUGAACUCGGCCGACUGAAUGUGCUCCUGAAACGAGGAGGGUAGCCUUUUAUUGUUCUGAGGAUGGAAGAAUUGCUAGUUUUCUAAUGGAGAUGGUGUCAUACCUAAAAGAGCCACUGUACCCUCUGUAUCAAUUCCUACUGACUGGAAUCGUGAGAGAACCAGCGAGCUGGAGUCAUUGUGAUUAGGAAUAGAGUCUUCCACCAUUUCUACGUGGCUUUCCUUGCUAUCUCUUCUUCCAGUUUUCAUGGGAAUGUAUGGUCCUCCAAGCUGUUAAGAAUUUUUUUGUGUACAGGGUUACAUGAUUAGUUGUUGACUCUCGAAAGAAAUUGAGAAAAUGCAUCAAAACCUGGAAAGAAUUAAUAAAUAUGCAAAAAUUAUGUUUAGAAA
Molecule: non-coding RNA, 2230 nt
Organism: Phoenix dactylifera (date palm)
Lineage: Eukaryota; Viridiplantae; Streptophyta; Magnoliopsida; Arecales; Arecaceae
Source: RefSeq, a predicted model, not a curated record